UGAGUCGGCUAGGCGGUCGCCGCGCGUUCGGUCUCGAUCGGAGGUGCGGAGGAAAGUCCGGGCUCCACAGGACAAGGUGCCAGGUAACACCUGGGGGGCGCGAGCCUACGGAAAGUGCCACAGAAAAUAUACCGCCUGGGUGCAUCGGGUGGGCCGUUCGCGGCGAAUCGGGUGCGCUUCGGUAAGGGUGAAAUGGUGCGGUAAGAGCGCACCGCGCCGGCCAACGCCGGUGGCAGGGUAAACCCCACUUGGAGCAAGACCAAAUAGGGAAGUGUGCUGCUGUGCAGCAAAGCGUUGUCCGCGUUAACUUCCGGGUAGGUCGCUACAGGCAUAUGGUGACAUAUGUCGCAGAUGAAUGGCCGUUACUCGACCGAUGUGUUGAGAACAGAACCCGGCUUAUCGGCCGACUCACACC
Molecule: RNase P RNA, 415 nt
Filed under: Pseudomonadota bacterium
Lineage: Bacteria; Pseudomonadati; Pseudomonadota
Description: Proteobacteria bacterium RNase P RNA component class A
Rfam family: Bacterial RNase P class A
About the family: Ribonuclease P (RNase P) is a ubiquitous endoribonuclease, found in archaea, bacteria and eukarya as well as chloroplasts and mitochondria. Its best characterised activity is the generation of mature 5'-ends of tRNAs by cleaving the 5'-leader elements of precursor-tRNAs.
Source: RNAcentral